This 474-nucleotide ribosomal RNA is filed under the name uncultured bacterium. Its description in RNAcentral is "bacterial SSU rRNA". It matches the Rfam family "Bacterial small subunit ribosomal RNA", at positions 28 to 506 of the family's 1533-position model. The record is from RNAcentral.
GAUGAACGCUGGCGGCGUGCCUAACACAUGCAAGUCGAACGAAGCACUUUGAUUGAUUCUUCGGAUGAUCGAUAAGUGACUGAGUGGCGGACGGGUGAGUAACGCGUGGGUAACCUGCCUCAUACAGGGGGAUAACAGUUAGAAAUGACUGCUAAUACCGCAUAACCCGCUAGGAUCGCAUGAUCCGGACGGAAAAGAUUUAUCGGUACGAGAUGGACCCGCGUCUGAUUAGCUAGUUGGUGAGGUAACGGCCCACCAAGGCGACGAUCAGUAGCCGGCCUGAGAGGGUGAACGGCCACAUUGGGACUGAGACACGGCCCAAACUCCUACGGGAGGCAGCAGUGGGGAAUAUUGGGCAAUGGGGAAACCCUGACCCAGCAACGCCGCGUGGAGGAAGAAGGUUUCGGAUCGUAAACCUCUGUCUUCGGGACGAGUAAUGACGGUACCCGAGGAGGAAGCACCGGCUAACUACGU